CAAUCUCUCCCUUUCCUCUGUCACAUUUUCUUCACCCUUUAAACAUGCAACCAUAACACCGAUUCUGAAAAAGCCCAACCUUGACCCCAACUCCCCAUCCAACUACCGCCCUAUCUCGCUACUGCCAUUUGCCUCCAAGAUCCUCGAGAGAGUUGUGUACGCCAGAUUGACAGACUUUCUCAAAUCCAACUCUCUGCUUGACCCCCUUCAGUCUGG
This is a non-coding RNA of Pelobates cultripes (western spadefoot toad), 216 nucleotides long. The record is from the annotation of a GenBank genome assembly. Lineage: Eukaryota; Metazoa; Chordata; Amphibia; Anura; Pelobatidae.